Molecule: long non-coding RNA, 2326 nt
Organism: Choloepus didactylus (southern two-toed sloth)
Lineage: Eukaryota; Metazoa; Chordata; Mammalia; Pilosa; Megalonychidae
Exons: 3
Source: RefSeq, a predicted model, not a curated record
CAGGCGUCCAGUCCUGGGGCGAGGACUCUGAGCCCCCGAUAAGGAGGCUCAGCCCUGCCCUCAAGGGAAGCCGCAGAUUUCACCAGGAAGUCCAGAGGUCGGCUUUGGGGAGGCCUUGGACCUUGUCCUCUGCAAUCUCCCAACAUCCUGCUUCAGGGUGUUGGGCUCUGAGCUCUGGUCAGUGCUCCUUCUGCUCCCUGUCGCUGUUGCCCCCAUGGGCUCACCCUCUCAAGGGGCAUUUCUGCAUUUCCUUUCUUGCUCCCUGAACUACCUGUGGCUUGUUCACUCUGUUUCAGCUAGAUUCUGACUUAGCCUUUUAUUGAGCAUCUGCUAUAUGCCAGGCGCUCUCUCCAAAACCUUGUUCUGCCCACCUCAUCCUUCAUCCCCAAUUCCAGAAGGAAGCUCGUUUCCAAGAUGCUCCUCCUUGGGGAGCCUUGCCUGACCCAUCAGGCUGGACCAGGCCCACCUGCCUCCACAUUCCAGCAAGACCCGCAGCACAUUGAGAUUGUUCUUUCCUCUCCCACGUUGUUCUGUGAGCUCCUGGGGCCGGGCCACUGCAGAGAACUGAUUCUGCAUGCUGUUAGCACUCCAUAUAUAUUUCUGAAUGAUCAGAUGGACCAGAGGGUCACUCAGACACCAAACAUCACCUGAGGAAUCAGAGUGAAGUCUGAGCGAGAGACCCUGGGCACGUACACAGGGCCAUUGCUUCACCCUCCGGAUGAAGAAAUCCAUUGACCCGCAGCAUUUCAGAAGUGAAGUUUCAAAUGAUCUGAGAAAGGGAAGGGCUUUGGGCCAGAAACUUGGAGCAACAACAAACAGACCACACUGCAGAAUCUUCUUAGCUGACAAAUUUCAUUUACGCCACCUGAGGAGGCAGCGACGCUGCUCUUUUGUUCUCCGUUUAAUCACGCGCGCCAGUUUUUCCUUCUUGUCCCAGGUAGAAAAAGGAUGUUCUUGGACACACACCCUUUAUCCCCUCAAAUCCCUUUAAUGCCAAACAUGCAGUGCCGUUUAUUUUUUCACAAUGUCAAAGUUCUGCAGCAAACCAUCGACUCUGGGCAAAGCUCUCAUGUUCAUCCAGGUCUAAUUUAUGGUCUUAAUAGCAAUAAAUGUACCCAGGCUUCGUGUCAGCAGUCACCAUCACUGAUCUUUAUUGAGCACUUGCAUUAUCUUAUUUAAUCCUCACAGCCUCACUUGGAGGGAGGAAGUGCGGCCUUCCUUUUGGAGAAGAGGAACUUAAGACUUGAAGUUGCAGAUGCUAUCACUUUCCCCUUCCCUCGGGUCUCAACAUUUCAGGGCACUUCUCCUGCACUUGCACGUCCAGGUGCCAGCUCCCCUAGCUCUUUGUCCAGGGAGAGACGGGAGCAGCCCUCAGCCAACCACUGAUGGGGCCAUCGUCCCUCAGGUGGGAGCAUGCUGAGGUAUGUGCUUUGCCCUGCCCCUGGAAGUCCCCAGAAAGAUCCAUCACCUGCUUGAUGAAGACGCAUGACCGGUGUCCUUCCUUUGCGGUCCCUUUGCUUGAUUCCCUACUAUUGCUUCCCGGGAUCACCUCCCACAUAAAUGGCUUGCCUUCAGAUCAUUGCCUCCAAGUCUAUUUCCUACAGAAGCCAAACCCAGACAGAGUGGUUGGGCCACCUGCCCGAGGAGCAUGGAAGUAGGGUUGACACUGGGAUUUGAAUCCUGCUUCCCAGGACCCCAAAGCCUGGGGAAUGGAUGCAUAACCUUACAAACCCCCAGACCUCUGGUGCAGCAGAUAGGCAGAACCAGUUCGCGCCCUUCCCUGGAUGGAGGAUGGAAGGGAGGCCUCGGAUACAGGGGACCCUGCCCCAAGUCCUGGAGCCAGCUAGGGGCCAGGCACGGUGUCUGCUGACUCCUUGUCUAGUGCUCUCGGCAAACGGAAGCGGCUGACCCGCGGAGAACCUGGGUGCUGAGGCCGCUGGCCAGCACCCCAGCUUGGAGAGAGGCACCUAACUUUUCCCUGAUCUGCUCCCCCCAUUUCUGGCGUGGACUAAUAUGCAAGGUUGGCACCAGGGAGGGUGUCGUCUGGCAGCUCCAUCUUUCACGUGGAACAUUAAGCCGAGGUCCUGCACAGCCUUGAACAUUAACCAUCCCUUGGUACCCAUGAAGAAGAGCUACGGGUUUUAUUAACCUCAGUGUUCCGGACACACUGCACACGCGACGCCGUCAUUAACCCACCUCCAGGCUGGGGACAGGGGCCUCUGCGCCAGCACUGUUCCAAGAGCACAGGCCCCACGAAAUGCCUUCAAUAAUUUAAGGAAACUACCAAAAUGUGACCAUAAAGGAUAUAACUUCACCUCAAGGAUGG